Molecule: long non-coding RNA, 799 nt
Filed under: Volvox carteri
Lineage: Eukaryota; Viridiplantae; Chlorophyta; Chlorophyceae; Chlamydomonadales; Volvocaceae
Description: long non-coding RNA (VCAR_LNC004284)
Source: RNAcentral
UGAUAUUGGCCAUAAACUAAUUUAGCGCAGGGCUUUGCACCUUAGUAGCUNUAUUACAUAAGGUCGGUUNUAAGAUACGUUCCACAGGAUCUUGAAGGUUACAUCACUACACUAGAAACCAGUAAACCGGUGCAUAGCACGUACUAACUAUGUAACAAGGUACUACUUAGCUUUUUAUUUUUUAACGUACUCCUUAUGUACGUAGCUUUAUCUAAAAAUCAGUAAAGUUAUUUGAAUAAAUCUCACAGUGAGUUUGUAGCUUUAUCUUAAUAUUAUUUAACUAUAUUAAACCAUAUUCCCGAAAGGAAACGUAGUUUGUUAAGCUAAAUAUUAUAGAGCCACCAAGCACACGGUGUCACGUUUAACGGACUUAAUCUAACUAAGCUCUAAACGACGUUAGGGGCGAAGCCCUAACCACAACGAGGGUAGAAAACGCGAGUUUAAUCACCUAACAACGCUUACGCGCUGUGCGUUUUGUAGCUUAAGGUAGUUAAUAAGCUACAGGGCCCCUAGCUAUUCUUCCCCUUUAGUUCCCCUUUAGGGGAUGUACGUCUUCCCCUAAAGGGGAACUAAAGGGGAAGAAGGGGGACAACAAGCAAAGGCCAAAGGCACUACCAGGUAGUGCCUUGUGUUCCUUUAGGGGAGCCCAAAGGGGAGAACCAACCGUAUAAGCUCUGUGAGUUUCGGGCGGAGCCCUAUAAAACGACAAAAACCAAGCACACGCUUCACUAUACUUGUGGCUCAUCCCCUUCGGGGAAAGAGCUUGACCCGUCGUUGUCUUCACCAAUCUUGGUGGGGA